Molecule: ribosomal RNA, 472 nt
Filed under: Streptococcus sp. oral taxon 058
Lineage: Bacteria; Bacillati; Bacillota; Bacilli; Lactobacillales; Streptococcaceae
Description: bacterial SSU rRNA
Rfam family: Bacterial small subunit ribosomal RNA
Source: RNAcentral
GACGAACGCUGGCGGCGUGCCUAAUACAUGCAAGUAGAACGCUGAAGGAGGAGCUUGCUUCUCUGGAUGAGUUGCGAACGGGUGAGUAACGCGUAGGUAACCUGCCUGGUAGCGGGGGAUAACUAUUGGAAACGAUAGCUAAUACCGCAUAACAUUGACUAUUGCAUGAUAGUCAGUUAAAAGGUGCAAUUGCAUCACUACCAGAUGGACCUGCGUUGUAAUAGCUAGUUGGUGGGGUAACGGCUCACCAAGGCGACGAUACAUAGCCGACCUGAGAGGGUGAUCGGCCACACUGGGACUGAGACACGGCCCAGACUCCUACGGGAGGCAGCAGUAGGGAAUCUUCGGCAAUGGACGGAAGUCUGACCGAGCAACGCCGCGUGAGUGAAGAAGGUUUUCGGAUCGUAAAGCUCUGUUGUAAGAGAAGAACGAGUGUGAGAGUGGAAAGUUCACACUGUGACGUAUCUACCAG